Molecule: non-coding RNA, 31 nt
Filed under: Mus musculus (house mouse)
Lineage: Eukaryota; Metazoa; Chordata; Mammalia; Rodentia; Muridae
Source: RNAcentral
UAAUUAAAGCAAGCAAUUAAUUAAAGCAGGC